CGCGUAGGCAACCUGCCUUUGUGAAUGGGAUAACCCUUGGAAACGGGGGCUAAUACCGUAUGAUGUUCUUCUAUCGCCUGUUAGAAGAAUCAAAGAUGCUUUUGUAUCGCACAUAGAUGGGCCUGCGUUCCAUUAGCUAGUUGGUAAGGUAACGGCUUACCAAGGCCACGAUGGAUAGCUGAUCUGAGAGGGUGAUCAGCCACACUGGGACUGAGAUACGGCCCAG
RNAcentral lists this ribosomal RNA (226 nucleotides) under uncultured bacterium. RNAcentral's name for it is "partial 16S ribosomal RNA". It matches the Rfam family "Bacterial small subunit ribosomal RNA", at positions 114 to 334 of the family's 1533-position model. The record is from RNAcentral.